AGCAUUUGUGUAUGUUUUUAUUAAACUGGUAGACAAAGACGUNAAAGACAGAUGCAAAAAUAAAACCUCUUUUGAAACCCAGAACGCCUAUGAGUUUUGAUACAUAUGAGACAGAGAGCA
RNAcentral lists this small nucleolar RNA (120 nucleotides) under Neotoma lepida (desert woodrat). RNAcentral's name for it is "Small nucleolar RNA SNORA40". It matches the Rfam family "Small nucleolar RNA SNORA40". Rfam says of the family: The snoRNA ACA 40 belongs to the H/ACA family of snoRNAs and guides the pseudouridylation of 28S rRNA subunit at position U4565. NB This family has a high threshold value to exclude a large number of closely related sequences that do not appear to have conserved H and ACA boxes, and may be pseudogenes. Lineage: Eukaryota; Metazoa; Chordata; Mammalia; Rodentia; Cricetidae. The record is from Rfam by way of RNAcentral.